UGAGGUAUAGCUCAGUGGUAGAGUGCUUGCCGAGAAAGCACAAGGUCCUGGGUUCAACCCCCAGUACCUCCA
RNAcentral lists this transfer RNA (72 nucleotides) under Camelus bactrianus (Bactrian camel). It matches the Rfam family "tRNA". Rfam says of the family: Transfer RNA (tRNA) molecules are approximately 80 nucleotides in length. Their secondary structure includes four short double-helical elements and three loops (D, anti-codon, and T loops). The record is from Rfam by way of RNAcentral. Lineage: Eukaryota; Metazoa; Chordata; Mammalia; Artiodactyla; Camelidae. RNAcentral also lists the same sequence under 2 other names.